AAUAAAAUGGCUGAGUUUAAGCGAUAAAUUGUAAAUUUAUUUACGAGAUAGUUCUCUUUUAUUA
This 64-nucleotide transfer RNA is filed under the name Melanchra persicariae. RNAcentral's name for it is "tRNA-Tyr". The record is from RNAcentral. Lineage: Eukaryota; Metazoa; Arthropoda; Insecta; Lepidoptera; Noctuidae.